This 117-nucleotide small nucleolar RNA is filed under the name Hucho hucho (huchen). RNAcentral's name for it is "Small nucleolar RNA SNORA32 (ENSHHUG00000016909.1)". Lineage: Eukaryota; Metazoa; Chordata; Actinopteri; Salmoniformes; Salmonidae. The record is from RNAcentral.
UGGUCAUAUACCAAGGCUUUUAGGAGUUCCAGUUCCUGACUUGCUGUGGAAUUGACCAUAAAGUAAACCUCAUUCCAGUGGGUCUCGCCAUGCUGGGGUGACCUAUUGGGAACAUUG